CGCACUUAUUGCUGUUAAGGGGCCAAUCACAGCAUCACCUGACCAGAAGGAUGCCCAGCUUGAAGCAUAUGAACCCAGAACCUGAGCUGGUCAGGCAGUCUAUCCCUGGGAGACAUGGAAAGAGGAGCUCUUGGGCAGCAGGGCUGCUGGUUAACAUUUGAGCUGGGGAAAAAGAGGAGAAAGCCUGGACUGCAAGAAUGCACCUUGAACUCCAGAGAUGGAGACUCUCUUAUGAGUGUCUGAGGUGGUAAACUGAUUUUUAUACAAAAUAUUGGCUCACUCCUGCUUUGGCAAAACAUCUGACACUGUUAUAAAAGAAGCAGGAAGUACAAAAAUCAACCACUAUUUUUACCAUUAAAAGACAAGGAGCCCCAUGGGACAAUUGCAGACAGAGUCUUAUCUAAUUUACUGUAGGGGCCAAGUCUGAGACGAAAAAAGUGAAUUCAAGUUAAAUUUGGACCCUUCUCCAGAAUUGAGGCAUCAAGGCUACACAUGGUGAGCUUAAGUUGACUGUAGAGUGACGUAUCCACCACACCAGCACUCCAGGUCCACUAAGCACUAAGACUGACAAGAUGCUAACAGUUAUGUAGAUUUCCAUAAAGCUUUUUUUGCAGGCUGCAUACUCUCUUUCAAUACUUCUGUUUCCACAUUCAGCAUGUGAGAACCAAUUGCUUUCCUUUAGAACUAUAUUUAACAGUUCACAUUUACAAUCUAUUAUUACAUUUUUCAGUGUUUUGUUCAGGAGCGAUUGUGGGAGUUUUGUAAGAUUGUUACCUUCAAGGUAAAGACUUGUAAGAUUCCUGGCAUCAUGUAGGAAAUUAUCUGGUAAUACUUGUAACUUGUUGUUGGAGAGGUUUAAUACUUGAAGGUUAGGUGUUUGAGCAUCUCUGUAGUUUAUUUUCUCAAUGUUACAUCCGUUAAGAUACAGAUUCGUUACACUGGAACCAAAGAUCUUCCAUCCAAUUGUGCUUGCACAUCCAGUACAUAUGAUGCAUGGCUCUUUCAGUUCUUUUGUAUUACAUUUCUCCAUUAGGCAGUUGGAAGCAGAAAAGAGUGGAUAAUGUACCAGGAAACAUAAAAGCAGCAAAAUUGAAUGAUCUGCCAUCUUGAGCCUAUGGGAAAUGGCAGAGUUAUACAAGAUCCAUUGCAAAUACCUUCCCAAAUAUGUUCUCUUAUUUGAAUGUUCUUCCCCUCCGCUGCCAUGGAGAGCCCUAGCUGUGACAGGGCUGUGUCUUAGGGAGCUGUAGUUUUGGGGACAGGAUUUGCUGAAGAAAGAGCAGGACUGCGGGUGCUCUGCUUACUGACCUUUCCACCCUACUCAGGAGGAGCUCCUCAAUCUUUUGGACUAUUGCACUAUGCAGGUUUCAGUAGAAGCAGGGAGUAAAACUGCUAGUGCCCUGUUUGCCAAGCAAAUGGCAUUUACUACUGUCCCUGUUUGGGUCUCUCUAUACAUUUGUGUUGUGUUCUAUAGAUGGGGUUUGAUCAAGCAGCUGGCUUUAUAUAUUAAUGCGUUUGACUCAGAGGUUUUAAAAUAUUUUAAUUAUACAAAGUGCAACUCUAACUGGGCUUACCUACUUUUGAAGUGUUUAGCAGACCUGUUGGACUCUCAGGCUUUCCAGGAACUCUCCCAGUACAAAUCAGAACAACCAAAUGGUGAUGUAUACUCUGGCUGCAAUGGCCAGUUUUCAGCCAAGCGUGAGAAAAGGACAACAUACUGCCAUCAACCUUCCUUCUACUCCUAGUAAGCCUUCUUCAUCCCCCUUAAUAACAGUGCUUGCUGAAAAGUGCCCUUUCAUGAAGGGAGUCUUACAGUGGGCAUUUCCAUUUGAUUUUAGCCCCUUUAUAUCAUCUAAGUAUCAUAAAAGACUAAAGGGCAACCAGAAAUCAGAUAUAUUUUCCUCUAGACUAAAAAGGCAUUACUUUAAUAACCAUGAACAUGCAAAGGCUGUAUAUAGGUCUCAGAGGGGAGACCUUCUGAUUGUUAAGUCAAUGCUUGUUCCUUAUCAUUUAUCUUGGUUCACACCAAGAUGUGCAUGUAUGCAGACUUCAUGCAUUUCAUAUUGUAAUUGUUGCAUACUGCUCCUUUACUGUUUGCCUCGGUAGAUCUCUGUGUUAUCUGACAUUCUCAAAAUAAUUCAUGAAGCUCACUAUUUCAGAUGGAAGUUCCUGAUGCAGCUUAUAGAAUUCUAAUAGCUUUUUAACACUUAAAAAGGAAAUACAAUUAAAAUAUAAAUUGAUUAUACAAUAAAUCACUAGAUGUUUAAAGAACUGUCCAUAUCUAUUUUAGGAAGGUGGUCUUACCUUAGGUCUAGAUCAAAAGGUUUGCUCUCUGAUAGUCAGUCAGCUAAAUGUGUAAUUGCAGGCUAUCCACGUUUGCAUAGUUCAGAACUCUACGGACAGGAACAAAUUGCUUGUAGUUGCUACUCUCUGUGGCUUUUUAAGGUGGUUAUGCAUUCUAUGAAUAUCAAGCAAAGAAUCUACAUAGUUAGACCACAUAUUCUAGCACUAGUGCUCUUGAGUGCAAGAACUAUAAAAGCAUCUAUACUUCUAAAAUUCUUUCUCACUCAGGAAACACUCCUUUGAAAAUUGGAAUACAACUUAUUCUACUGAUUUUAUUUAAAAUACCUUCUGCUAAUCACUAUUUUAAAUAAAAUAUAUAAUUACUUAAGUUCCAGUAGUUCAAGGAUAAAAAUUUCCAGUAAAAAAAUAUACAUAAGACCUGAAUAUACACAGGGAAUAGAAAUCAAGGAAAAUCUGUCAAAAUACAGAAGUUUGCUAUGCUUCCUCACCCACUGAUGCCUACUUGGUGACCUCAAGUCUCUCUCACUUGUGCAUCCAUGCUUAUCUUUAGAUAAGAGAUCAGUUCUUCCCAGAUCACAUGUAAAAUCUUCAGCCUUAAUGUUUCACACGAAGCAAUUUCUGCCAUCUCAAUCUGCUGGGCUAGUCUUUUUAAGUGGACAUGUUGUCACUACUACUGUUGUUAUUUAAUGGAAAAACUCUAAGGGAAAUGGCUACUUUAUUAAAAAGAAAACUUUUUUCUUCACUUUGAUGAUUUAUCUAAUGUUUGCAUAUCCUUUUCACAGCCAUUUAUUUUUAAAAUAAGAAGAGAAAAUUCAGCUAUGUAGCUUCUAUUCAAACAGAAUUCCCCUUGACUAUACUGGGAACUUUACAAGAUGACAGAGUUGUAACAAAAUGAUGCAAAAAUGUAUGCCAGUAUAGCCAUAAGGAAUACAAAAACUAAUUUAAAAAAUGGCACAAGGGCAGACCGUGACAAUAGUAACAGUCCCUGGUAAAGUUCUAAACAGGUAUGAUCACCAAUUAUUGUGUUCACAAGAGAUGCAAUUUGUCCUUAAUGUGGUAAAUUGUUUAAAAUCUUCCUUUAAAGGAAAAUGGAUCUGUUUUAAGUUUUGUGACUGUAUGCUAUAUGACGGGGUCAGCAACACAGCCUGCAGCUGCAGAGCUCCUAGAUCUGGCCCAAAGAGUCAAAAGUCUUUGCCUUUGCCUGCACCCAUGCUGGACUUGGGCACUGAGGAGCUGGGCCGAGGCAAGGCAGCUAGAACUGCUUCUCCCAACCCCCUGCUUCUCGGCUGCAGCAUGGGUGCAGCUCCCAGCUAGUGAGGAACUGCACUGGGGCUGGGCAGAGUCCCACUGCACUUGUGCUGCAGCCAGGAGUGGGGCAGGACAUGUGGAGCAGCAGCAUCACUGCAGGCACACCUUCCAACUGCCUGGCCUUGGGGGCUAGAAGCUGUGCCCAUGCUGCAGCCAGGGAGCAGGGGGCUAGGGAGAAGCAGUGCCAGCAGCAUGGGCUCAGUUCCCAGCUGCCUAGCCUCAGCUCACCUCCUUUCCAGUUGGAAGCCGUGCUUAUAUCCCAGCUGGGGACUCAGGGGCUGGGAAAAGCAGCAGUGGUAUCAGCAUAGUUGCCUGGCCUCAGCAUGGGUGUCGGCAAACACCCCUUGCUGCUGAUGUACUACUGAAGCUACCCAACCCACGCCAGACAGGAGCAGGAUUGUUCUGACCCACAGCUUGGAAAGGUUGCUGGUCCCUGUCUACGUGAAGGACUUUGUUGUUCUGUAGUUGCAUAAAAUAGUGACAUCAUCUACUGGAACUAUUAUUAUUGAGUGGAUCUCAAUAUUAAUGAGCUUUUUCACAAGUAUGUUGAAGUGGUUUUUUGCAGAUAUUCAAUUUAUACAUAAACUGUAAUUUGUUUUUCCCUCAGCCAUAGCAAACUAUGUGAACUAUUCCCAACAGCCAGGCUCAAAAGAACCAGCCAUUAUUCACUUCUUCUGCAUAAAUAUUAUGUCACAAAGCUCAUGCCAGUAGCACAAGUGAUUUACCUACUGUAAAAGUUAUCCACUUUUUUAUUUCCGUGCCCUCGAUCUGCCUCUUUUCUUCCUCUGCUUGUCCUCAAUACGCAUUCAACUUUUAAGGUAAUUAUCUGUGCAAACAUUGUAUCAUCUCCUUCAAACCUUGCACAGUUCUCUGGUGGUGACAAAAGCUCUUUUUCAGAUAUAUUUAGACAUCAGGUUGUAUAUUGAUGCUGCCAGAUGAAUAUUCCAAAAUGGAUCUGAAGUAAUGCAGCACUAGUCUGAGUUUGUUCAUGCUUCAGUGGGACAAGUUAAGGGCUAUAGUCAAAUAUGAGCUAACAUGAUACAGUAGCUACAGACUGAGGAGCAAUCUGACACUUAGGUCAGAUUGGGGAGCACCCAGGGUCUAUGUAAGCCUGGGUAAGCUAUGAAUAUAGACCUUUUUUAAACCCCUUUCCUUUUUUGCUGCACUGUUUUCCUACAAUUUAAAUUAAAUGAUGUUUUGUUUUAAAGAGAUGCAGCUCUGGUCAGGGCUCCCAAAGGGACUGUGGCACCAGAUGAACAAUUGUUUGGUAUGUAUGGCACUAUCAUCCCAAAACUGGUCCUCAGAGUGGAAGAACUGUGGAAUUCUGUCCAAGAAAGGCAAAGGCUCAAAGCCUUUAUGAUGUGCAGACAAGAGGCAGAAGAAGAGGGGAGAAAGUUUAUAACUAGCCUUGAACUGUGAUAGGGGGCAAUGCAUACAUAUGAAAUCCACUGUUGCGCUGGUGUUUAAAAAAAAAAUCAUCUCAAAUGUGACCAACUCUGUUCACAAGAUUGAUCCCCCUGCACUAUUUGAAUACAAGCUCAUCUUCUAAAGCUCCUGAGGUUUACAGCUAAAUUCUGUUUCAGCCCAUUAUAAAGAGAAAGCCCAUCAUGAACAAUGGAUCCAGAUAAAGGUGAAGAUUUAAGCUGGCUGUUAGAUCUUGAUGGCUGGUUUUGGACCUAUCUCUGGUUAAAGUAGUAGCAUUUUUUUUAGAUAUCUUUGAAAAAAGAUCUCCAUAGGCUGCCAUCAGCCGUGUGCAGAUACUGGGCUUCCCCUCCAAACAGUUCUCUUGUUUCCUGGUUCCAACAUGGUUGCUUGAAAUAGUUUGAUCAGGGACAAAAUGUAAUUGUGGAUAAAAUGCUUCUUACGCUAUUCAUCCUUCUUAGAACUGCUCUCUUUCAUCAUUCUCUUGUGCAGUAAUACAUACAGAAAUUACUCAUUUUUUAUUUUUAACCUGCCCCUCCCAGAAAUUAGUGUUCAUCUUAACAAGCCACGUUUGUUGAGAUCAGAUCCUUUCAAAUAGGUAUCUUUGUAAUUUGCUAUUCAGAAAGUCUCUCUCUACCCCUCACAGGUACUGUGUGUGCUGUUGAUGAAACGUUCCCUAAGGCACAGAAAGAUGCACACAUAUAAACUACUGCAUAAUUGAUGCUUGCUAUACAGGCUGGUGCUUGUGUCUGUUUCAGUUCUUGAGCUUUUCUGAGUGCUCUCUGAAACCAAUGCAUCUUUCUUAAAUCCCUUGCACUUCAGUAAUUUCCCUUGCAUUUGAUGCCAAUCUCUCAGCCAGACUGUUCAGUAUGCUGCUUCCUCAUUCUCAUAUAGCUGUGAGGAGAAUGAACAGACAUAAUGGGAUUGCAGCAGUCAGGGCUGCCCCCAUCCAUAAGCCUAUCUAUUUCACCCCAUCUGAUUCUUAAAAUAUUUGUUUUGGUAGUGUUAAAGUGAUGUUGUAGCUGUGAUAGUCCAGCAAUUAUACAAGAGACAAGGAUUUUUGGGGGUGAUAUCUUUUAUUGGACCAACUGCAUGGUUGGUAUAAAGUUAAACAAGCUUUUGAAUGCAAGUCUUGAAAGGGGUGAUGAUAGGGCUGGGACUGCCAACCAGCUGAUUGUUGGUCCCAGCCCCUGCACUGCACUGGGGUCCUGAUCUGAUCCUGGAGUCUCUCUCUGCCAGCAGUGGACCCCCAAUUCACCCUACGGAUCCAGUGGCAGAAGCAGCCACCUUCUCCAGAGCUUGGGUCCCUGUGCCUCCUUCUAGCCACUGCCACUAGUGGAGACUCAACUUGCUGCAGUGUGCCAAGGUUGGGCACUCUUGGGUUGGGUGUACUCAACAUACAGUAGGAAGUGCAUGGGCUCUGGGUGUGGGGGCUGCACGUCCUCAUAGGUGGACAUGUGAGCUGUGGUGCCCAGUGCUAUGGUCAGUGGGGGUAAGGCACGCGGGACGGAUGGGAGGGCACAGCCAGCUCCAGGCCUGUCCAGAGCAGGCUGAGAUAAUAGUAAGCAUUACUGUGCAACUGCUCAUAACACAUUCUAACUUUUAAUACAACAUAGUAAUGCUUAUUGCACCUCAGGUAAAACAUGUGCCCAAAUUUAACACUGCUGAACAUUGCCUUCUGUGGUGCUGUCAUCUGUACCAGGAUGGUGCAUGUUGGAAAGGAGAGCCAGGGAAAGGAGAUAGAAGAGGGAGACAAUCAUCAGGAAAGCAUUGUAAUAGAGUAGAUUAAAAAUAGAAAGAAAAGAAGCUCUAGUUUUCCAGAGAGCUUUCUAUUUUCCAGAAACUGUGUCUCCUACUAGUCACAGCCAGGAAGCACUGGCUCCUGCAAAGCUGAUUAAAAUAGCCAGAGAAAAUGUCUCAGAGAAGUCUCAAUCCCCUGAUUUAAGAUAACGACAAAACAGAAAAUGGAAAGAUAAAGGGAAGGGGCAAAGUGUUUUCAGGCUGUAUCUCUUGUGCUGGGAGGGAUGAUGACUUCCCUUUGAGCCAAAUGUAAGGCUGAAAAAACUGUCAGCAAAUCUUUCUACUUUCAUUAGCGUUUCUUCUCCCUCUCUUUUCAUGCUUACAUCUUCCUGGCUGUGACUGGUAGGAUGAAAUUUUGUAUGAUGUGUAAGAAGUAAAAAAUGAAAGGGUGAAGCAAGGAACAUACUCUUGAGGUAAGUUUUAUUUGUAAGGAUAACUGUAUUGUCUGUUGACUAGGGAGAAAUACCUGAUAACAGCUAAGAUGCAGAACCUGCUGUGGUCUGUAAAAAGGCUCAUGUGGGUGUUUUUUUCAUGAUUGUCAUCUUGUUUGGAGUUUUAUUUCAUUAUCAUUCUUCCUGUUAUAUUAUGUUUGUGUAUAAAACAGCAAUAGUUAAAGUAUUUGAUUCAACUCUGAGUUCUUUAGUCCAUGGCCCUUGGACUAAGUGGGUUUAAUAAAAUAGUCUAAAUUGAACUAAAUAUGUCUUUUAGUUAUUUCAUUUGAGAUGGUCAUGUACAUCUGAGCCUCAAGUGUAUGUUUAAAGCAAUGCAAACCCAAAUAGGAAAUAACAUUGACCAAGCUCCUUUUUCUGUUUUUAGCCAAACACAAGCAAGUAUAAACAGGUCCUGCUGUAACUCUUUCAUUGUUUUCAUUUAACCAAAGACAAGUGCAAGAACUUCUCACCUUUUAAAAGUUCUAAUAUCUAUAUCCUGUUCCUGCCUUUACUAAGUUGUACUCUUUUUUUGCUAAGCAGUCAAUAUAGGGGUUGGUCACAUCUUUGACCUGUCUAGUUACUAUGGUUCAUUCUUCUAAAAGCAACUUUUCCUUUGGGAAGGAGGCACUGUAGCUUUCUGAAUCUCUUUGUAGUGCCAUGCUCACAGUUGUAAGCCCAUCACUCCCAUUCAUCUGAACAGCUACUAACUGAAAAAAGUAUCUGAAAAAACAUCUCUGCUUGUAUGUGUAUUAAUGUUCUGAUUACAUUUGAGAAAAAGCAUUUUUCUUGUCAGGGUGUGUUACUAUAAAGACUGAUGUGACUUUGCCACUUUAUGAAAGGUUGGAAUGUUGCAAUGAAUGUUUUU
Alligator mississippiensis (American alligator) is the source of this 8127-nucleotide long non-coding RNA. RefSeq lists it as uncharacterized. NCBI's taxonomy places the organism in Eukaryota, Metazoa, Chordata, Crocodylia, Alligatoridae. The transcript is spliced from 5 exons. The record is from RefSeq and is a predicted model, not a curated record.